AAGUCGUAACAAGGUCUCCGUAGGUGAACCUGCGGAGGGAUCAUUACCGAGUGAAGGGCCUCCGGGUCCGACCUCCAACCCUUUGUCGUACGUCUCUUGUUGCCUCGGGGGCGACCCGGCCUCCGCGCCGGGGCCCUCGGUGGACCCAACCUUGAAACUCUGCGUCUUUGCGUCCGAGUCUUGAUUAAAAUCGUAUAAAACUUUCAACAACGGAUCUCUUGGUUCUG
RNAcentral lists this unclassified non-coding RNA (227 nucleotides) under air metagenome. RNAcentral describes it as "partial contains small subunit ribosomal RNA, internal transcribed spacer 1, and 5.8S ribosomal RNA". The stretch from base 1 to 46 matches the Rfam family "Eukaryotic small subunit ribosomal RNA", at positions 1786 to 1831 of the family's 1831-position model. The record is from RNAcentral.